AGCAGCCGCGGUAAUUCCAGCUCCAAUAGCGUAUAUUAAAGUUGUUGCAGUUAAAAAGCUCGUAGUUGAAUUUCGGGGUUAGUAGGUUGGUCAUGCCUCUGGUAUGUACUGGUCUCACUGAUUCCUCCUUCCUGAUGAACUUUAAUGCCAUUAAUUUGGUGUUUUGGGGAAUUUGGACUGUUACUUUGAAAAAUUAGAGUGUUUAAAGCAAGCUAACGCUUGAAUACAUUAGCAUGGAAUAAUGAAAUAGGACGUUCGAUCCUAUUUUGUUGGUUUCUAGGAUUGACGUAAUGAUUAAUAGGGAUAGUUGGGGGCAUUAGUAUUCAAUUGUCAGAGGUGAAAUUCUUGGAUUUAUUGAAGACUAACUACUGCGAAAGCAUUUGCCAAGGAUGUUUUCAUUAAUCAAGAACGAAAGUUAGGGGAUCGAAGACGAUCAGAUACCGUCGUAGU
Molecule: ribosomal RNA, 450 nt
Filed under: uncultured Glomeromycotina
Lineage: Eukaryota; Fungi; Glomeromycota
Description: SSU rRNA
Rfam family: Eukaryotic small subunit ribosomal RNA
Source: RNAcentral